UGCCUAUACAUGCAGUCGAACGAACUCUGGUAUUGAUUGGUGCUUGCAUCAUGAUUUACAUUUGAGUGAGUGGCGAACUGGUGAGUAACACGUGGGAAACCUGCCCAGAAGCGGGGGAUAACACCUGGAAACAGAUGCUAAUACCGCAUAACAACUUGGACCGCAUGGUCCGAGUUUGAAAGAUGGCUUCGGCUAUCACUUUUGGAUGGUCCCGCGGCGUAUUAGCUAGAUGGUGGGGUAACGGCUCACCAUGGCAAUGAUACGUAGCCGACCUGAGAGGGUAAUCGGCCACAUUGGGACUGAGACACGGCCCAAACUCCUACGGGAGGCAGCAGUAGGGAAUCUUCCACAAUGGACGAAAGUCUGAUGGAGCAACGCCGCGUGAGUGAAGAAGGGUUUCGGCUCGUAAAACUCUGUUGUUAAAGAAGAACAUAUCUGAGAGUAACUGUUCAGGUAUUGACGGUAUUUAACCAGAAAGCCACGGCUAACUACGUGCCAGCAGCCGCGGUAAUACGUAGGUGGCAAGCGUUGUCCGGAUUUAUUGGGCGUAAAGCGAGCGCAGGCGGUUUUUUAAGUCUGAUGUGAAAGCCUUCGGCUCAACCGAAGAAGUGCAUCGGAAACUGGGAAACUUGAGUGCAGAAGAGGACAGUGGAACUCCAUGUGUAGCGGUGAAAUGCGUAGAUAUAUGGAAGAACACCAGUGGCGAAGGCGGCUGUCUGGUCUGUAACUGACGCUGAGGCUCGAAAGUAUGGGUAGCAAACAGGAUUAGAUACCCUGGUAGUCCAUACCGUAAACGAUGAAUGCUAAGUGUUGGAGGGUUUCCGCCCUUCAGUGCUGCAGCUAACGCAUUAAGCAUUCCGCCUGGGGAGUACGGCCGCAAGGCUGAAACUCAAAGGAAUUGACGGGGGCCCGCACAAGCGGUGGAGCAUGUGGUUUAAUUCGAAGCUACGCGAAGAACCUUACCAGGUCUUGACAUACUAUGCAAAUCUAAGAGAUUAGACGUUCCCUUCGGGGACAUGGAUACAGGUGGUGCAUGGUUGUCGUCAGCUCGUGUCGUGAGAUGUUGGGGUUAAGUCCCGCAACGAGCGCAACCCUUAUUAUCAGUUGCCAGCAUUAAGUUGGGCACUCUGGGGGAGACUGCCGGUGACAAACCGGAGGGAAAGGGGGGGGAUGACGUCAAAUCAUCAUGGCCCCUUAUGACCUGGGGCUACACACUGGCUUCAAUGGGAUGGGACAACCAAGUUGCGACAC
Molecule: ribosomal RNA, 1251 nt
Filed under: Lacticaseibacillus casei
Lineage: Bacteria; Bacillati; Bacillota; Bacilli; Lactobacillales; Lactobacillaceae
Description: bacterial SSU rRNA
Rfam family: Bacterial small subunit ribosomal RNA
Source: RNAcentral